RNAcentral lists this ribosomal RNA (476 nucleotides) under uncultured Dysgonomonas sp. RNAcentral's name for it is "bacterial SSU rRNA". It matches the Rfam family "Bacterial small subunit ribosomal RNA", at positions 10 to 478 of the family's 1533-position model. Lineage: Bacteria; Pseudomonadati; Bacteroidota; Bacteroidia; Bacteroidales; Dysgonomonadaceae. The record is from RNAcentral.
AGUUUGAUCCUGGCUCAGGAUGAACGCUAGCGAUAGGCCUAACACAUGCAAGUCGAGGGGCAGCAUAUAGCAGCAAUGCUGUGAUGGCGACCGGCGGAUGGGUGAGUAACACGUAUGCAACCUACCUUUAACACGGGCAUAACUCGAAGAAAUUCGUGCUAAUUCCCGAUAAUACAGGGGCGCCGCAUGGCGAUAUUUGUUAAAGAUUAAUCGGUUAAAGAUGGGCAUGCGUUCCAUUAGCUAGUUGGUGAGGUAACUGCUCACCAAGGCAACGAUGGAUAGGGGGACUGAGAGGUUUAUCCCCCACACUGGUACUGAGACACGGACCAGACUCCUACGGGAGGCAGCAGUGAGGAAUAUUGGUCAAUGAGCGAAAGCUUGAACCAGCCAAGUCGCGUGAAGGAUGAAUGUUCUAAGAAUUGUAAACUUCUUUUAUAUAGGAAUAAAGUGAGCCACGUGUGAGUUUUUGCAUGUAC